AAAUGAAUGAGUGCACCCUGCUGUUGCAGCGUCUUCAGUGUGAUAAGCAUCUUCACUGGAACAAAGUCCUCAGGGACACGCAAGCAUUGUGGGCUCUGCGCUGGCAAACCGUCUUUGGACAAUCUUUGACAAUUUGACCUCAAAUCGGGUGGGACUACCCGCUGAACUUAAGCAUAUCAAUAAGCGGAGGAAAAGAAACUAACAAGGAUUCCCCUAGUAACGGCGAGUGAAGAGGGAAAAGCUCAAAUUUUGAAUCUGGUGUCUUUGGCGCCCGAGUUGUAAUCUAGAGAAGUGUUUUCUGCCUCGGACCACACAUAAAUUCCCUGGAAUGGGGUGUCAUAGAGGGUGAGAAUCCCGUUUGUGGUGUGGACUACCUUGGCUCUGUGAUACACUCUCAACGAGUCGAGUUGUUUGGGAAUGCAGCUCAAAAUGGGUGGUAAAUUCCAUCUAAAGCUAAAUAUUGGCGAGAGACCGAUAGCGAACAAGUACCGUGAGGGAAAGAUGAAAAGCACUUUGGAAAGAGAGUGAAACAGUACGUGAAAUUGUUGAAAGGGAAGCGUUUGAAGUCAGUCACAUUGGUCGGAAUUCAGCCUGGCUUCUGCCUGGUGUAUUUUCUGGCAAAUGGGUCAGUGUCAAUUUUGAUCGAGAGAGAAAGACUUGAGGAAUGUGGCUGUCUUCGGGCAGUGUUAUAGCCUCUUGUUGUAU
Molecule: ribosomal RNA, 705 nt
Filed under: uncultured Sebacinales
Lineage: Eukaryota; Fungi; Basidiomycota; Agaricomycetes; Sebacinales
Description: eukaryotic LSU rRNA
Rfam family: Eukaryotic large subunit ribosomal RNA (bases 135-705)
Source: RNAcentral